UUCUGUUCCCAGACGACUAAAUAUUAGGUCGUCUGAUGUACAUUAUCAGCCAGAAUAAGUCGUCUAAACCGGACCAAACCUUAAAGUUUACCAAUGUACUUUUAAAGCUAACCGGAUUAUUUACCCAAUAUAUAAGGUGAUUUUUUUUUUUUUUUUUUUCAUUUUCCGCGAACAGAAACCCUAACAGUUCUCUCUCACCGGCGAUAUCAAAGGCGAUUCGAAUUCCCACUAUUUCCGAACAACCAUCGUUCUCAACGUCGGCUAUCUAUCUCACUUCAUUCUCACCGUUGUCGCCGCAGCUUCUUCUAACCCUAGCGCCGCCGAUUCCUCUAAACCCUAGCGCCCCCGCUUCCACUAUUUCCGAACAAACCGUCGCCCUCGCCACCGUGCUCACCAACGUUCUCACCGCCGCUUACUCUAAACACUAGCUAGCACCGCCGUUUCUUCUAAACCCUAGCGCCGCCGCUUCUUCUAAACCCUAGCGCCGCCGCUUCUUCUCUGUAAACCGUAGCGCCGUUUCUCUGUAAACCCUAACGCCGAUCUAUAACCACAAUGACGAGUACUCGAACUCCUUCUGCGACUAAUCAG
This is a long non-coding RNA of Raphanus sativus (radish), 588 nucleotides long. RefSeq lists it as uncharacterized. Lineage: Eukaryota; Viridiplantae; Streptophyta; Magnoliopsida; Brassicales; Brassicaceae. The record is from RefSeq and is a predicted model, not a curated record. The transcript has 2 exons.